This 460-nucleotide ribosomal RNA is filed under the name uncultured bacterium. Its description in RNAcentral is "partial 16S ribosomal RNA". It matches the Rfam family "Bacterial small subunit ribosomal RNA", at positions 338 to 795 of the family's 1533-position model. The record is from RNAcentral.
CCUACGGGAGGCUGCAGUGAGGAAUAUUGGUCAAUGGUCGGGAGACUGAACCAGCCAAGCCGCGUGAGGGAUGAAGGUACAGAGUAUCGUAAACCUCUUUUGUCAGGGAACAAAGGCGGGGACGUGUCCCCGGUUGAGUGUACCUGAUGAAAAAGCACCGGCUAAUUCCGUGCCAGCAGCCGCGGUAAUACGGAGGAUGCGAGCGUUAUCCGGAUUUAUUGGGUUUAAAGGGUGCGCAGGCGGGCUGUCAAGUGCGCGGUGAAAGGCCCGGGCUCAACCCCGGCCCGGCCGUUGAAACUGGCAGGCUCGAGUUGGAGAGAAGUAUGCGGAAUGCGCGGUGUAGCGGUGAAAUGCAUAGAUAUCGCGCAGAACUCCGAUUGCGAAGGCAGCAUGCCGGCUCCACACUGACGCUGAGGCACGAAAGCGUGGGUAUCGAACAGGAUUAGAUACCCGUGUAGUC